Molecule: long non-coding RNA, 544 nt
Organism: Oxyura jamaicensis (ruddy duck)
Lineage: Eukaryota; Metazoa; Chordata; Aves; Anseriformes; Anatidae
Exons: 2
Source: RefSeq, a predicted model, not a curated record
CAAGCCCAGACAACAGCAGCACGUCCAGCUGGGCUUCGUCUCCUCCAGCUCCGCACAGAUGUUUGGUAUUCCUCUUGUUCCUGCACGGCUAGCGUCCCCCCCAUCCCCAAAUUUUGCCCUUGGAAGCUCAGCACCUCCACAGCUGAACCAACACAACCCAUUGCUCUUGGUCGCCCGCGGCCACCCAGCGAUGCCUCUGGGUGCUCGCCUGCAUGUUGCACCCCAGCUUUCCCCUCCGGCCAAAGUAGUCCCUACCUGGCUUUGCACCUCCUCGAGACAGGCAGGCGAACGCUGGAAAAACAUCUUGCACCACCUCUGGUUUCACGUCUGGGCUUUGCUACGUUUUGAGAUACGCGGAAGUGGGAAAUGCCUUUCAAUGCUUCUCAGUGCAGUUGUGGUCCUGUUCCCAACCAGGCACAAUGCGAGAAGUGAAAUCAGCCUUCAGUGUGGUAUGGAUGGCCCCAGGAUAUGUCUGAGGCAACUUUAUUGUCUGGGUACAGUUCAUCAUGUUAAUAACUGGAAGCAUGUAUGCAGAUAGCAAAAA